UAAUUGAAGAGUUUGAUCAUGGCUCAGAUUGAACGCUGGCGGCAGGCCUAACACAUGCAAGUCGAGCGGUAACAGGGGAAGCUUGCUUCUCGCUGACGAGCGGCGGACGGGUGAGUAAUGUAUGGGGAUCUGCCCGAUAGAGGGGGAUAACUACUGGAAACGGUAGCUAAUACCGCAUAAUCUCUCAGGAGCAAAGCAGGGGAACUUCGGUCCUUGC
RNAcentral lists this ribosomal RNA (217 nucleotides) under Providencia rettgeri. RNAcentral's name for it is "partial 16S ribosomal RNA". It matches the Rfam family "Bacterial small subunit ribosomal RNA", at positions 1 to 216 of the family's 1533-position model. The record is from RNAcentral. RNAcentral also lists the same sequence under 1 other name. Lineage: Bacteria; Pseudomonadati; Pseudomonadota; Gammaproteobacteria; Enterobacterales; Morganellaceae.